This is a long non-coding RNA of Glycine soja, 1254 nucleotides long. RefSeq lists it as uncharacterized. The record is from RefSeq and is a predicted model, not a curated record. The transcript is spliced from 3 exons. NCBI's taxonomy places the organism in Eukaryota, Viridiplantae, Streptophyta, Magnoliopsida, Fabales, Fabaceae.
CUUCACCUUUAAUUUGCAUGCAAUGUUGUUCUGAGUUUAUUGGUCAGCUGAAUAGUGGUUUCUGUUUGGAUUUUAGAAUUUAUUCUAACACUUCGAUGUAAAUUAGAUUGUUGGAUUGGACAUUCAAUUAUUGUUGUUUUUAGUUGUUCUAGGGGCCUGACAUAGGGUAUCUCUUAUUUUUCUUUAUGAGGAUUUGAAACUUGCAAGGCUGAUUAAUCUUUAGAGUUCCUAUAGAUGAAAAAUAAGCUCUUAUGAUAUGGACUUUAGCUAUGCUUAUUUGCUGAGCAUAUGCUUUUUUUUGUGGUGCUUACUCGGAACUACUGUAAUAUUUAUGUAUAGUUUUCAUUUGCCUUCAAGUAGUUUUGACAUAAUCAAUUUUUGAUGAUUUCAGUUUGUCAAGUUUGGAACAAAUCACUGGCACUCCAUGGCUUUAUAAUAACAUUUGUCUUUAUGAUGUAUUUGAAAUUGCUAUUUGGGUGAUUGUUUAUUUUGUUAUUUUCUUUAGAAACAUAUCCCGAAUGGAUUCAUAGAAAGUUGUAUUUCACACGAUCUCUAUGUCUAUACUGAAAUUCUAUCAUAGGAGGUUUAUGCUCUUGUAGUUGGUAUCAUGUUGGUAGCCUUGUCGGCAAAAUUGAGUUGUUAUAUGUAUUUCUGGAAUGUAGCUAAGAUAGUAAUUUUUGUAAUAGCAGACACGACCAUCCGGGAAAUGAUGCGAGGUAACUUUUUAUUUCCUUAUAUUUACAUUUAUAGUUGAAACUUUAGAGUUUAAGACCACUUCCAUUUGUUUUAAGCAAGAACUUGCUCUGACUCUUGCUCUGUUUUCCAGAUGAAGUUAAUCAAUCUAUAAUUAUAAGACAAAUGAUGAUGCCUGCAGCAUGGAGUGCAAAAGUGAACUUCUGAAAAUUCUCAAACUCAUCAAUGAGGGCUGAUGGAAAAAGUAUGUUGUCUCUGAUUGCCUUGUCCUUGAAUCUAGAAGAAGAUUACCUUGACAAGAUAGGUGCCUUGAACAAACCAGCAGCUUUUCUUCACCUUCUGCACAAUUGGGUUUAGCAUUGUGUUUUUUAUUUCUCUCUUCUAGACCUUUUUACGAAAGCACAAACAACCAUAUCCACAAAUUUAUGUCUGUGUUUGUCAUGACACCUAAAAUUUUAUCUUCAAUGUUGACUUCGGCUUUAUUUACUGUUAUUUCCUCCUGUUAAAUCUUCAUGUUAGACAAGGGAACAUAAUUUCUUUAUUUUCAAGUAUUGAUUUUUA